Molecule: ribosomal RNA, 269 nt
Filed under: uncultured prokaryote
Description: partial 16S ribosomal RNA
Rfam family: Bacterial small subunit ribosomal RNA
Source: RNAcentral
UACGGAGGAUGCAAGCGUUAUCCGGAUUUAUUGGGCGUAAAGAGCGCGCAGGUGGUUGAUUAAGUCUGAUGUGAAAGCCCACGGCUUAACCGUGGAGGGUCAUUGGAAACUGGUCGACUUGAGUGCAGAAGAGGGAAGUGGAAUUCCAUGUGUAGCGGUGAAAUGCGUAGAGAUAUGGAGGAACACCGGUGGCGAAAGCGGCUUUCUGGCGCAUAACUGACGCUGAGGCUCGAAAGCGUGGGGAGCGAACGGGAUUAGAUACCCGGGUA